UACGUAGGUGGCAAGCGUUGUCCGGAAUUACUGGGUGUAAAGGGAGGGCAGGCGGGAAGCCAAGUCAGCUGUGAAAACUACGGGCUCAACUUGUAGACUGCAGUUGAAACUGGUUUUCUUGAGUGAAGUAGAGGUUGGCGGAAUUCCGGGUGUAGCGGUGAAAUGCGUAGAUAUUCGGAGGAACACCGGUGGCGAAGGCGGCCAACUGGGCUUUAACUGACGCUGAGGCUCGAAAGUGUGGGGAGCAAACAGG
Molecule: ribosomal RNA, 253 nt
Filed under: uncultured bacterium
Lineage: Bacteria
Description: partial 16S ribosomal RNA
Rfam family: Bacterial small subunit ribosomal RNA
Source: RNAcentral